CACGUAGGGGGCGAGCGUUGUCCGGAUUUAUUGGGCGUAAAGAGCUCGUAGGCGGCUCAGUAAGUCAGGUGUGAAAACUCCAGGCUCAACCUGGAGACGCCACUUGAUACUGCUGUGGCUAGAGUCCGGUAGGGGAGCAUGGAAUUCCUGGUGUAGCGGUGAAAUGCGCAGAUAUCAGGAGGAACACCAAUGGCGAAGGCAGCUCGCUGGGACGUGACUGACGCUGAGACGCGAAAGCGUGGGGAGCAAACAGG
Molecule: ribosomal RNA, 254 nt
Filed under: uncultured bacterium
Lineage: Bacteria
Description: partial 16S ribosomal RNA
Rfam family: Bacterial small subunit ribosomal RNA
Source: RNAcentral